UACGUAGGGACCAAGCGUUGUUCGGAUUUACUGGGCGUAAAGCGUGCGCAGGCGGUUUUGUAAGCCAGAUGUGAAAUCCCCGGGCUUAACCUGGGAAUGGCGAUGGUGACUGCAAGGCUAGAGUUUGGCAGAGGGGGGUAGAAUUCCACGUGUAGCAGUGAAAUGCGUAGAGAUGUGGAGGAACACCGAUGGCGAAGGCAGCCCCCUGGGUUAACACUGACGCUCAUGCACGAAAGCGUGGGGAGCAAACAGG
This 253-nucleotide ribosomal RNA is filed under the name uncultured bacterium. RNAcentral's name for it is "partial 16S ribosomal RNA". It matches the Rfam family "Bacterial small subunit ribosomal RNA", at positions 524 to 776 of the family's 1533-position model. The record is from RNAcentral.